Molecule: ribosomal RNA, 279 nt
Filed under: uncultured bacterium
Lineage: Bacteria
Description: partial 16S ribosomal RNA
Rfam family: Bacterial small subunit ribosomal RNA
Source: RNAcentral
UGCCAGCCGCCGCGGUAAUACGGAGGGGGUUAGCGUUGUUCGGAAUUAUUGGGCGUAAAGCGUGCGUAGGCGGACUGUUAAGUCUGAUGUGAAAUCCCGCGGCUCAACCGCGGACGUGCAUUGGAUACUGGCAGUCUUGAGUCCUGGAGAGGAGAGCGGAAUUCCUAGUGUAGAGGUGAAAUUCGUAGAUAUUUGGAGGAACACCAGUGGCGAAGGCGGCUCACUGGCUCGAUACUGACGCUGAGGUACGAAAGUGUGGGGAGCAAACAGGAUUAGAUA